AGAAUUUUAGUUUAAAAAAAAAUUUUAAAACAGUAAAUUGCAAGUUUAAAGAAGCCUGAGGCAGAUUCUU
This 70-nucleotide transfer RNA is filed under the name Encyrtus rhodococcusiae. RNAcentral's name for it is "tRNA-Cys". Lineage: Eukaryota; Metazoa; Arthropoda; Insecta; Hymenoptera; Encyrtidae. The record is from RNAcentral.